Molecule: ribosomal RNA, 121 nt
Filed under: Stegodyphus mimosarum
Lineage: Eukaryota; Metazoa; Arthropoda; Arachnida; Araneae; Eresidae
Source: RNAcentral
GACAAGAGCUUAAUACUAUGCUGAAAGUACCGGUUCUCGUACGAUCACCGAAAUCAAGCAGCAUCGGGCGCGGUCAGUACUUCGGAGGGUGACCACCUGGGAACACCGCGUGCUGUUGACA